AAGACCUGAGGGAAAUGUAUGACUUGCAUGAAAGGGCUCGACAGGCAUUAGGAAUUUUCUAGAUAUGCUCAGCCUAACACAAGGAGGUUGACUUUGAUCUGUUUUCUCAUAGCAUCUUCUACUAAGUGAGAAAUCUCAUGGGCUAACACUGCAGUCCCCCUGGUUUGGUAGCCUAAAUGGUGAUUUUAAAUGUCCCCUUUUUCUGGAUCCUUUGUAAACAUGAAAUCAUUCCACGGAUGGCUGCCUUAUAAUUUUUGUCUCUUUCCACUUUA
Molecule: long non-coding RNA, 272 nt
Filed under: Bos taurus (domestic cattle)
Lineage: Eukaryota; Metazoa; Chordata; Mammalia; Artiodactyla; Bovidae
Description: long non-coding RNA NONBTAT002723
Source: RNAcentral